CCAUCACUCCUCUAACCAGUCACCCUUUCUCUUUAGUUCUGGCCUUAGGGAAGCCAACCUGAAGAGCUGCCCUUGGUCAUGAGCCCUAACGAGCCCAUGUCUCUUCUGAGAGUGGAUUACAGUCUUUUUCCUGUGCAACCCCCCUCCUUUUCUGUCCCCCUUAGGCAGAGGUGCAGCCUCAGUGUGGAAGAGCCGUGGGAUUCUCUUCAGGCACUGAAAACCCACAUGGAGUGAAGGCUGUCACCAGGGGGCAGCGCUGUGCCAUCGCCCUGUGGUUCACCCUGGACCCUCGACACAGCGAGCGGGGGGACAGGGUGCAGGCAGAUGACCUGGUGAAGAUGCUCUUCAGCCCAGAAGAGAUGGACCUCUCCCAGGAGCAGCCCCUGGAUGCCCAGCAGGGCCCCCCCGAACCUACACCACAGUCUCUCUCAGACAGUGAAUCGAAGCCCAAGGAUGAGCUAUGACAGCGUCCAGGUCAGAUGGAUGGGUGACUAGACCCAUGGAGAGGAACUUUCCUGCACUCUGAGCUGGCCAGCCCCUCAGGGCUGCAGAGCAGUGAGCCUACGUCUGCCACUCAGCCGAGGGGACCCUGCUCACAGCCUUCUACAUGGUGCUGCUGCUCUUGGAGUG
RNAcentral lists this small RNA (630 nucleotides) under Pongo abelii (Sumatran orangutan). RNAcentral describes it as "retained intron". The record is from RNAcentral. Lineage: Eukaryota; Metazoa; Chordata; Mammalia; Primates; Hominidae.